GAGUAGCCUACUACUAAAAAUGGAUUUUUGAAUGAGUCUGCUCCUGUAAUUGCAUCGAUUUCUUUAAUUUAGAAGUAUCUGACUGUAUCAUCGCUGAGGAAGCCUCCUCUUUCAUGGAUUACUCUCAGGGAUUACUGAAUGAAGCCCUACAGGCUAAUGGUAUGCUCUGCCAUAGGGCUUGAAUGCAUCAAACAACACAGAGAGCCCAAACUGGACUGUCAACAAGUUACCAUUUCCAACAGCAUAUAAAAGAUCAUUUCUUUACAUCUCACAUGCUGGAGGACUGGAUGGUUAUUUGAAAAUGUAAAUGUAGCAGAGUUAGGAACAUGUAAUUUUCCUUUAUCCAACUGAACACAAUGUUACUUAAACAAACAAACAAUAUCUAGCAUCCGCAAUCUGUAACAGUAAUGAUGUGCCUUUCAUCAGUUGGCUUUUUAGAGGGUUUGAUUUUUUAUGGAUAUAGGCAGUGAUGUACUUGUACUCUUGUACUCUUGCUGUUACUUGUGUAAUUUAAUCAAUAUGCUUCCAUGGAAACCACUUUUCAUCAUCUGAGCUGUUCGUUAGCAUGAUUGGUGAGACAUGUGUUUGACACUUAGUUGUGUGUAUGAGGCAGAGGAUCCACCUGCUGCUUGUUGAAAAUGUACUGCAUGUAUUAGGAGAGGCGAUCAGCAAUUAGGACAAAUGAAAAUUCAUCUCCUUAAUGAAGCACAAACACAGCAGGCACAAGGGCGAUGCAUUGAGUGGCGCUAUGCCUCAAUGCACAUUCAUAGUGCCUGAUGUACUGAUUAUUUAAAUAGAUUUUAUAAAAAUUCAGUGCAAAGCAAAUUAAUUUCAUUAAUUAGAAUGUAAAGCAAUGUGAUAGAAAAAUAUCAGCGAGAAUCAAGGGGAAGGUGUACAAGACAGUGGUGAGACCGGCCAUGCUGUAUGGUUUAGAGACAGUGUCACUGAGGAAGAGACAGGAGACAGAGCUGGAGGUAGCAGAGCUGAAGAUGUUGAGGUUCUCUUUGGGAGUGACACGGUUGGACAGGAUUAGGAAAGAGAACAUCAGAGGGACAGCUCAUGUUGGACGUUUGGGGGACAAAGUUAGGGAGGCCAGAUUAAGAUGGUUUGGACAUGUUGAGAGGACGGAGAGUGAGUAUAUUGUUAGGAGAAUGUUGGACAUGGAGGAGGCAAAGAGGAAGGCCAAAGAGGAGGUAUAUGGAUGUAAUAAAUGAGGAUAUGAAGCUAGUGGGUGCAAGUGUUGAGGAUGCAGAAGAUAGGGAUAGGUGGAGAGAGAUGAUUCGCUGUGAUGACCCCUGAAGGGAAAAGCCAAAAGAAGAAGAAGAAUUAGAAUGUAAAGCAAGAUUUCAUGAAACAAAACUAGGCAUAGUUUCCAGUCACCACAAACAGCCAAGAAUAACAGUCAGUGGUCAUGAUAUCACAAUGUUUGUUCCAUUUGAGGUUUUAGUGACUUUAGCCACAUCUGACAGUUAGAUAUAAAACCCCAAAAGAUAUACAUAUCAAAGGCUUACAGGAGUCAGACAAAAACAGGUUAGCUCUUCAUGUGACAGACAGGAUAAAAAUACUGUUUUUAAACAUGUGUCUGGAAUUUCACCUUAAAACUAAGAGAAUGGUAGCUGUGCCCAUGUCAACAUUUCAAAACAAGAUCAAACCUGACUCUUAGACUGCUUAAGCCUGUAAAGCCUUUGCUAAUAAUCGCUUUAGGGCGAUUAUUAAUCUAAAAUCAUCAAUUUCCCAAGGCAAGAGCGGUACAUCGGUCUUUUGGAAAAUGUGUGAAAUCUUUGUGAUCAAAGGAAAUGAAAUAUUUAUGAUUAUAAAAAAAUUAUAAUUUAAUGUUCAUUGUGGAGAUCUUUUGUUUGUUACUUUGAAGGCACUCUAAAAAAAAAAACAGAGCAUAUGACAUAGACAGGAUUUUAAGUAACACUCUCUAGGAAGAACUAUUAACUAUUUAAAGAUCCCCUGAGGAACCCUUUGUUGUAAGAGUGUAAACAAAUUGUGUGGUUUUUUAGUCAAAGAGUUUGCCAAAGAGCUUGUGAAUGAUUGUUCUAUAUUUGUGCUGUAAUAUUGGAUAUUAUUUCUUUUAGAAAAUCACUGUAACAAUUGUUUUUUCCCCCUAUCAUCACUAUCACUAUACAUGUGAAAUAAAAUUCCUCUCUAUUUUAAU
Molecule: long non-coding RNA, 2164 nt
Organism: Hemibagrus wyckioides
Lineage: Eukaryota; Metazoa; Chordata; Actinopteri; Siluriformes; Bagridae
Exons: 3
Source: RefSeq, a predicted model, not a curated record